UUUUGCCCGAGAUGAAAAGGUGAAGAAAUGAAGAAGCUGGGGAAUGAAAAGGACCAUCAGCAAUGGCCUUUCCAGACGAGGAAUUUUUACCUCGUAUGUCAUGAUCAUUAGUAAGGCGAGGAUUGAGGAGGAGCUUCCAUGACAUAAGUUAACAAAUAAACAAGGCCAAUGUAUUCAAGAUUUAUUCACAUUUUAGGAGGCAUAAUUUGAAUUCUGCUCUAGCAAAUCAGAGUGGAUAUAAAGAACGCAAAUGUAGAAGGAAAGAGUUCUAUGAACCGGCGCCUCUUCAUGAGGCCAGCUUACACAAAAAUUAUGGAUAAGAAUGUAAGAUGUUAUAUGUAUCCACUGAAAAAGAGAGCAUAGGUGUUUCGCAACAAUAAACCAAUUCUUAGUGUCACAGGCAAGGGCAAUUUGUAUCCUCCUGUAUAUUUGUUAAAACAAAAAAUUGCAGCUCUGAAUCAUGAGACUGAAGAUUAGCAAAAGGGUAAUGGCAUGUGGAGUGCAGUAUACCAUUGAGUAGCAGUGCAGUCGCAGCUUUUGCAACUAAAAAGUAACCAUUCCUAGAUGUUGUUUGAUUUAGGAAAUAAGAAGACUGUACAAAAGAAAAGGACAAGUUUGGUGCUGAAAAUUACAUCCAUCUCUAAUGGGCAAAGAAGUGAAUUUACUGUAUAGGCACUGUGGUCUCACUGUAACG
This 694-nucleotide long non-coding RNA is filed under the name Elaeis guineensis (African oil palm). RNAcentral describes it as "long non-coding RNA (EGUI_LNC007440)". Lineage: Eukaryota; Viridiplantae; Streptophyta; Magnoliopsida; Arecales; Arecaceae. The record is from RNAcentral.